AUUCAUAUAAGUUAAUUUUAUUGCUGACACUGUUUUUCGGGGUCAUAAACAUGUUGUGAAUAUUUCUGACCAGACAAUCAGAAAUGGGCUCCAUGAGGAUGGUCAUCCUAUAGAGAGCCUUGUGCUCACUGCCAUUCACCGUAGAGCUUAAGAGGCAUUUGCCAUAGACCACCAGAAUUUUCAACUAUGCCACUGGCUCUGUGCUCUUCACCGGUGAAAGCAGGUUCAACCUGAGCACAUGCGAAAGACAUGAAAGUGUUCAGAGAUCCCAUGGAGUAUGUUAUACAGCUUGCAACAUCAUUCAGCAUGACAGGUUUGGUGGUGGGUCAGGGUUCAACCUGAGCACAUGCGAAAGACAUGAAAGGGUUCAGAGAUCCCAUGGAGAACGUUAUGCUGCCUGUAACAUUCAGCAUGACAGGUGUGGUGGUGGGUCAGUGAUGGUCAGGUAAGGCAUAUCCCUGGUAGGACACACAGACUUCUACAGGUUAAAUGAUGGUACCCUGACUCCUAUUAGGUAUCAGGAUGAAAUGCUUGGAUAAAUUGUCAUAAGCUACACUUUUGCAGCGGGACCUGGGUUCCUCCUGGUCCACGACAAAGACCAACUUCAUGUGGCUGUAGUAUGCUACAGUUCCUGAAGGAAGAAUGAAUUGAUAACAUUGACUGGUCCCCAUGUUCGCCUGACCUAAAUCCAAUUGAACACCUCUGGGACAUUGUGUUUAGGUCCAUCUGGCAGAGCCAGGUUGCUCCUCAAACUGCCCAGGAGCUCAGUGAUGCCCUGGUCCAGAUCUGGGAGGAGAUUCCCUUGGACACCCCCUGUCGUCUCAUUAGCAGCAUGCCCAGGCGUUGUAGGGAGGUCAUCCAGGCACUUGGAAGCCACACACACUGCUGUGCCUCAUUUUGACUUGUUUACAUGAAAGUUGAAUUGGCCUGUAGUGUUUUUUUCUACUUUCAUUUUGAGUAUAACUCCAAAACCAGACCUCCAAGGGUUGAUACAUUUGAAUUGAUAGUUUUUUGUUUUUUUGUGAUUAUGUUGUCAGCACUUUCAAAUAUGGAACGAACAAAGUAUUUAAUAAAAAAUAUUUCAUUCAUUUAUAUAUACAAUGUGUUUUGUUAGGGUUGCCUUUGGUUUUUUAGCAGUGUAUAUAGCCCCCUAGUGGUGUAACUAUUGCUCCAAAUUAACACUAUCAACACACCCUCCUUUCUUAUGAUAGAGUAAGACGUUUGUGAACAUUACAAGUCCAAUACAAAAUAUUUUACCACAAGCAGAAAUGUUACAACAAAAUCUUUAGCUGUUCAGUUCCAGUGAUGAGGAGGAUCUUGUAAUUAAUUCUUUGUUUUAUUUAGGUUGGUUUUGAGGAGAGGUAAAACUGGUCGUCAUCCACGUAGCAGUGAAAAUGGAUGUUAUCUUCACAGAAACUGGAACAAGGGGAGAAUGUAGAUGAUAAAGAGGAGGGGCCUCAGGACAGAGCCCUAGGGUACGCCAGCGGAGACAGGAAGGGGUAGGAGCCAAAUUUAACAAAUUUUGUGCUGUCAGACAGGUAGGAGAUAAACCAAGCGUGGGGUGUGUGGGUGAUACCAAUAGGGGGAAAACCCGGUCUAGAAGGAUAGUGGGAGAAACAGUGUCAAAAGAAGCUGUGAGGUCAAAGAGAACACGAAUUGAGAGUAAAUCAGUAUUGUAUUAUACAAGGAGAUUGUGAGUUAUUUUGAGUAAAGCUGUUUAUAGUGCUCUGAAGGGGGAGAGAACCAGAUUAAAAUUGUAGUAGAUAGUAUUUGUGAUGAGAUGGUUAUUGAGUUGAGAGGCUACAAACUUUUAGAAUUUUAGCGAUUGAGGGUAAAUUGGAAAUGGGGCGGAGGUUAUUGAAAUGGGUGGGAUCCAAGCCAAGUUUUUCGAGAAAGGGUGAAAUGGUAGCAAGUGUACAGUGCAUAUAAAUCAAAUUGAAGACACAGUACAUUAUGCAUAGUUUAGGGCUUAAUUCUGCACUUAGAUACAGGAAAGAUAUGAGAAAUGUAUUUGUAUAAGGUUUCGUUUCAGUAAUUACAUACCAAACUGUUUAAAAGGACACUGUUUAAGGAAUAAAUUGCAAGUCUAACCAAAAAGUGAAAUUAAACUGAGAAAUAACUCCUUUAUGAACCACUAGGGCAGGGGUGUCAAACUGAUUCCACAAAGGGCCGCAUUGGGUCCUGGUCUUUGUUGCAACAGAUCCAGCACAGACAGUUUAACCAAUGAGGUUUCUGCUAAAACACACAGCACCUGACUGCAAUCAACCGAUGACACUUGUAAGACAACAGAUUGGUGAAAAGGUAUUCAUCUCAAUUGGUUAGAAUGAAAUCCAGAACCCACUACAGCCCCUUGAGGACCGGUUUGACACCCCUUCACUAGGGAGAGCCCGAAUACAUCUAAUGCUACUUCCAUAUAUGUGUGUGUGUACAAUGCUUGUGCACUUUUAAAAACAGUGUGACAGAAUGCAAUUUGAUUUUUCUAAUUAGUCAGGUUAUUCUUUUACCAGGAGAGCCGCGUCUUUACCAUUCGCCUCCAUUGUUUACAAUGCCACACAAAAAAAUGGCCGCGGUGCGCUCCAUUUCAGUGGCUCCGAUUUUUCGACAGAUAGCCCGGCUACACUAGACCGGGUACCCCGAGUUGAAGAAAUUAAGGCAAUUAUCUGUCCUAGUGUAGACGUGGCCUUAGUGUCCUUAUGGUCUGAAAAGUUCUCAUGUAUCACAUGAUAUACUCCCAUUGUGGUUGUUCAUUACGUUUUAUUCACUAGGAGCAGAGGUAGGUAGAGUAGCCAAAGACUUUACUCAAGCAAGAGUAGCAUUACUUAAAAAUAAUAUUACUCAAGUAAAAGUAGUCGUCCAAAAAAUAUACUCAAGUACAAGUAAAAGCGUAUUUGGUAAAAAGAAUACUCAAGUAAUGAGUAACAUUGUGAAUAACUGCUUUUAUUUUUGUUUGAUUUUUUUUUUUUAAACAAAUUUUUUUUUCUCAGCGCAGUUAUCGAUAUGAACUGUUGUUAUAAUGAUACUGUACAAUAACUCAUUACAUAACCACAUUAAGCCAAAGAAAUAGAGAAAAAGAAAUCAUUGAAUUCCAAUGAGAAAAAAAUUACAUAAAUGAGGCAUUACUCGUCCAAAAAGCAAGCGUGCCCUCUGAUGGAGAAAAUAGUUCUUAGUUUGAAUAGUGAAGAAUUCCUUCAUAAUUAGUAUUUUGAAAUUAAAAGGAUCAUAUCCCCGGUUUUCCGUGGUCAAUCGGUGCCAAACAAAAACUGGGAGUUUAAAAUCCACACUUUCGAGUUAUGUUGAGGCCAGCGCUCUAUAUCAAAUACUUCAUUUUUUACGGUGCUUUUAAGACACCACAUGUUGAACAGGCUGGCGUGAAGAAAGAACGGCAAGCUUGCGUCUGAUUGGUAUAAUGGAGUCAUGUGAAUACUGUUGCGAUGUCUCAUUGGAGAAAUCGGUAGAGAUACUUGCUACUACUACAGCUACUCGGCAUCGCUGGCAAAAAAAAUAUAUAUAAUAUGUAGAAUAAAGAGGAAAAAUGUAACGACUCUUGUGUAGCCCAAAGUAAGGGAGGAAGAGAAGCGUUUUUUACUUCACAAAUCUACUCAAAUAAAAGUAAAAAAAAGAAUAGCUUAGUAAAACUACUCUUAGAAGGAAUUUUUUUCUCAAAAAGUUACUCAAGUAACUGAUUACAUGUAACGUGUUACUACCCACCCAUUAUUAGGAGAAAGCAGCGAACAGGAAGCCGUUAUGGGAGGUACAGAAAAAAAGGAAGCAGACAGAAAAGGAAAAGAACAAACAACAACAACAAAUACAUUGCUAAAUGCAUAUGCUACCUAUGAACAUAGUGGUGCUAUUGUUAUUGAAUUAUAUUUAUUAUAUAUUAUUAUUAGGGCUGUCAAAAGAUUAAAAUUUUUAAUCGAGUUAAUUACAGCUUAAAAAUUAAUUAAUCGUAAUUAAUCGGAAUUCAAACCAUCUAUAAAAUAUGCCAUAUUUUUCUGUAAAUUAUUGUUGGAAUGGAAAGAUAAGACACAAGAUGGAUAUAUAUAUUCAACAUGCGGUUCAUAAGGACUGUAUUUGUUUAUUAUAACAAUAAAUCAACAAGAUGGCAUUAACAUUAUUAACAUUCUGUUAAAGUGAUCCAUGGAUAGAAGACUUGUAGUUCUUAAAAGAUAAAUGUUAGUACAAGUUAUAGAAAUUUUAUAUUAAAACCCCUCUUAAUAUUUUCGUUUUAAUAAAAUUUGUAAAAUUUUCAAUCAAAAAAUAAACUAGUAGCGCGCCAUUGUUGAUGUCAAUAAUUACUUACACAAUGAAGCCUAUAAAAUCAGUCGCACCCAAGCGCCAGCAGAGGGCAGCAAAACUCCACAAAACACAAUUAACAAGUGGGCAUUUCACUGUACUGUCAUUUAAAUCUGUCUGAGCAGGGCAUGUGCGUUAAUUGCGUCAAAUAUUUUACCGGGAUUAAUUAAAAAAAUUAAUUACCGCCUGUUAACGCGAUAAUUUUGACAGCCCUAAUUAUUAUAUAUUAGGGGUACCACGGUUCAGUUAGCCCACGGUUCGGAUAUUAAAAAAUGAAAUAAACACUUAAAAUGUAAACAUUUUCGACUGUUAAAAUGCCUCUUAGCUCUUUGGCUAGUGUAGUGACUGACUACUGAAAUACACAGUAGUAAAAAAGUUAUUUGGCAAAGUAACUGGUGAUACCUUUUCAUGUUUUUUUUUUUUUUUUUAAUUAAAAAAAAAAAAAAAACAGUAACCUUUGCUAUGUUUGGAGGUCAUUUAAUGUUGUGAAUCAACCGUUAAAUUUGAUAAAAUUGCUCCCUUUUUUGCAUCAGUUCCCUUCUGGCUACUUUUGACAUGUGAAAAUUUGAAAACUGUUUCAUCCUUUAAAGAUAGACUCAAGUCAAGAUUUUGCCGAUUUAGGAGUAUUUUAGAUAAAAAGUUGCUUAGGUUGGCUCGUAAGGUUUACUACAACAGAGCCUUUCUGAGAAGUUUACUGCUCUAAAAUGGCAGCUGUUUACUAACCCUACUGAGUCUGUCAUUUCGCACGUAGUUCUAUAUGCAUGAGACAUCUAGGCGUAGAUUGUAUGUUGUCGGCUAAGUCAGGUAAUAUUGGAGCCACCUAGCCUAGCAUCGCGUUUGCUACAGCGUCUCAACAAACACUCUUCCCUCUCCGAGUCUCUGACUUUUCUCGCGUCAUUUAAGCAACGCAUUGUCUCGUUGCAGAAACGGUGACCAAAUCCGAACGGAUGAAAAAAAAAAAAAAAAACGUAAUGCACGAAAAACGUGCAGAUUUUGAACGUAAUGUACGGCGUACACAUUCAAAAAUGAGUGCACACUUGUACAAAUUACGACGAGACCGUACAAUUUGACAGGUAUGAAUUAUAGUACCGUCACAGUUAGGCAGUAGCACUCUGUAGCACGGGACGUCCAACUUCCAACUAUCAGUGGUCAGGGCGAAACUAUGUGCUUUAGCGAAAUCAUCUUCGAUGGCUUUGCGUGCCAUUUCAUAAAUGUCGGGGAUUACGUUGUUGGAGAAAUAUGUCCGCGAGGGAACAAUGUAACGCAGGCCAAGCGUUGCAAAUAAAUUAACAAAACCCGCCAUGUGUUUUCACUGGUGUCAUCUUCGGGGUUGUCCUACCCUGACAAAGUGAUAUCUGUGGGUGAUGCUGGCUGAGGUGCUGGAGUCAUGUUAUAAAAGUGUUGCCAUUAGCAUGGGGAACAAGCACUGAGCAAUGCUUGCAAUUUUUUUUUUUCAAUAUUUUCUCUCCCUCCACAUUGUAAUCCACGGGGAAACCAAAAUGUUGCCACACCGCAGAUUUGAAAGAAGCCGGUGCUUCCUCAAAAUUCGGUCUCUCCACUCCUCCGCUCGCCAUAGCUAUUUGUUUUCUUUCUUGUUUCACUUUCACUUCGCUCGUAAGCGAGAGAGGGGGUUAGUCGGCUUCUAUUACACAGGUGCUUGACAGCGAUCCGACAUUUACUUGCGGGGUGGUAAUUUCUCCACAGCGGUGCUUCACGUCACACACAGGCACACAGAGCUCGAUCAAUUCGUUCCAUAAGUGUUCGGAAUACAUUAUCUGCAAAACCGAAAAGGCGCGGUUCAUAAAGGCGUAUUGAACCGUGGAGGGCGAACCGAAUGGUUCGGCUUUGAACCGCAAACCGUUGCACCGCUAUUAUAUAUACAUUAUAAUUAUAUUUACCCGUGGACACCAUAUGGGGGCUUGGUAACCAAGGAGGAGGGAAGGGAAGUUGAAAGCAAAUGAGAUUAGGUGGGGUGGGGCGUAUACAAUUCUGGCAAUGUUAGGUGGGAACCUAGUAUAAUGAAAAUCACCCAUAAGUGUUGAUUGGUUGACAUCCUAUUCUAUAUUGCUACCUGAUUGCUAUACCUGACAUCUCAUUUAACUGAGUGUGCCUAACUGCACCUAGGCAUGUGUGAACCCACUCUGGUGUGCAAUAGUCCUGCAGAAAAGUUGAAAUGUUGCACCGAGUGGCACACCCCUCUGGUAGAAUGAAGGUAUAAAAAUAUUCAUUUAGCAUUAAAUUUAAUUUGACCUUUGUGACUCUAUAUGUUCCCAGAAAAAUCAAUGCUUUCAAGCUACACAAUGCAGGCAUAAUCAUAAAUAUGAAUGUGGAUAGUGUGCACACUAAGACAUCAGAAAUGUAUUUCAUCACAAAGAAGAAACCACAUGACACGAGCAGCUUUGUGUACAUCAUAAAGAAAAGACUUUUAUUCUAAAUUUAGUAGCACCGGAGGUAGAAAAGUGAGCAUGUUCUUCAGAUGGGAAGCAUGUUAGCUGAAGAUGUCGGCCUGUGUUCAAUGGAGCUGUGAAGAUGUACUAGAAAAGAACAAGAGUAGAGACAAAUGUACGUUUGCUGCAGGUCGCGGUGCUCCAGGUGAUAGACGGCGCCGACCUCCGCUUCCGCGUUGUGACUUCGUGGGGAAGAGGACGAGCGGAGACUUCAAAAGGAGCGUGAAGGUAGUAAAUGUUUGUAGCGCUUACAUUAGCAGGCUGCCUACUUUCAACUGCUUGAAGAACCCUGAUGAAAUGUCAGAGGCUUGCGAGCAAAUGAGUUCUUUUCGAUGGGCUUUUCGUUGCGGAUCGUGGACGCCUGGCAGGACCGAAUGGUUGUUUGCCUCUCGCUGUGUUCAGCCAGAAGAGAAAGACCGAAUAGGAACGUUUGUGUUCGCUAAAGAUGCCAAAUCUGCCAUGGCAGGCAGGUUGCUGCUGAGGAAGUUCGUGUGUGAGGAAAUGCACAUUCCCUGGACCCAGAUCCACCUAGGACGAUCUCCUCGAGGGAAGCCUUACCUGGCAGCACCGCUUAAAGUCGACACAGAGGAGCCCCUGGCCUGGAGCUUCAACAUCUCCCAUCAGGGGGACUAUGCAGUGCUUGCAGCUGAGAAGAGGUUGCAAGUUGGGGUUGACAUCAUGAAGACAACCAUGCCUGGUAGCAGCACUGUGCCCGAGUUUUUCCGCAUCAUGACUCGCCAAUUCACACCGCACGAGUGGCGCGUCAUCCAGUCCGCCGGCUCUGAGCGGCAGCAGCUCGCCAUGUUCUACCGCCACUGGGCCCUGAAGGAAAGCUUCAUCAAGGCCAUUGGCACAGGGCUGGGCUUCAAUUUGCAAAGGCUUGAGUUUCAUCUCUCCUCCGAAGCUCUUACACAAGGCCGUGUGCUCCGCCAGACCAGAAUGCACCUGGAUGAAGAGGAUGAAGAGGACUGGCUAUUUGAAGUGAGAGUGUUUACUUGACGCCGAUCAUCAUGUUGCGGUAGCACUGAGUGCAAUGAAGAAGCUAAACUGUACAAAUCCUACCUCAUCUCUUCCUCCACCCACUGCUUUCACACUGCUGUCGUUCAAUGACCUCAUCGCGUCAGCUUCACCUCUGACAGAAGAAGACCCGGACUACUGGGAAAGCUUCAAAGUGAAACAGAAGCACCUUUUAGACAAAAGGGA
Corythoichthys intestinalis (scribbled pipefish) is the source of this 7943-nucleotide RNA transcript. It is a transcript of the gene named aminoadipate-semialdehyde dehydrogenase-phosphopantetheinyl transferase, with no coding region annotated. The transcript is spliced from 9 exons. The record is from RefSeq and is a predicted model, not a curated record. Lineage: Eukaryota; Metazoa; Chordata; Actinopteri; Syngnathiformes; Syngnathidae.